CUACGGGAGGCAGCAGUGAGGAAUAUUGCACAAUGGGGGGAACCCUGAUGCAGCAACGCCGCGUGGAGGAUGACGCAUUUCGGUGUGUAAACUCCUUUUAUAUGUCAAGAAAAUGACGGUAGCAUAUGAAUAAGCACCGGCUAACUCCGUGCCAGCAGCCGCGGUAAUAGGGGGGGUGCAAGCGUUACUCGGAAUCACUGGGCGUAAAGGACGCGUAGGCGGGUUGGAAAGUCAGGUGUGAAAUCCUACAGCUUAACUGUAGAACUGUACUUGAAACUUCUAAUCUAGAGUAUGGGAGGGGGAGAUGGAAUUAGUGGUGUAGGGGUAAAAUCCGUAGAUAUCACUAGGAAUACUUAAAGCGAAGGCGAUCUCCUGGAACAUUACUGACGCUAAGGCGUGAAAGCGUGGGGAGCAAACAGGAUUAGAUACCCUCGUAGUC
RNAcentral lists this ribosomal RNA (439 nucleotides) under uncultured bacterium. RNAcentral describes it as "partial 16S ribosomal RNA". It matches the Rfam family "Bacterial small subunit ribosomal RNA", at positions 339 to 795 of the family's 1533-position model. The record is from RNAcentral.